GAUGAACGCUGGCGGCGUGCCUAAUACAUGCAAGUCGAGCGAACAGACAGUAAGAUUGCGCCUCUGACGUUAGCGGCUGACGGAUGGGUAACGAAUGGAUCGCAUACCUCUAAUACGUGGAGGACUUCGUAAAGAAAGAGAUACUAACACCUAAUAUAUUCUACCGCAGAAUUCAAUAGUGAAUGGCGCCUUUGCCGUUACUUAUAGAUGGAGCCGCACUGCAUUAGCUAGUUGGUAAGGUAACGGCUCACCAAGGCAACGAUGCGUAGCCGAUCUGAGAGGGUGAUCGGCCACACUGGAACUGAGACACGGUCCAGACUCCUACGGGAGGCAGCAGUGGGGAAUAUUCGACAAUGGGCGCAAGCCUGAUCCAGCCACACCGCGUGGGUGAAGAAGGCCUUCGGGUUGUAAAGCCCUGUUGUUGGGAAAGAAAAACAGCAGAUUAAUACACGGCCGUUCUGACGGUACCCAAAGAAUAAGCACCGGCUAACUUCGUG
Molecule: ribosomal RNA, 497 nt
Filed under: uncultured bacterium
Lineage: Bacteria
Description: partial 16S ribosomal RNA
Rfam family: Bacterial small subunit ribosomal RNA
Source: RNAcentral